This 497-nucleotide ribosomal RNA is filed under the name uncultured bacterium. RNAcentral describes it as "partial 16S ribosomal RNA". It matches the Rfam family "Bacterial small subunit ribosomal RNA", at positions 28 to 507 of the family's 1533-position model. The record is from RNAcentral.
GACGAACGCUGGCGGCGUGCCUAAUACAUGCAAGUAGAACGCUGAAGAGAGGAGCUUGCUCUUCUUGGAUGAGUUGCGAACGGGUGAGUAACGCGUAGGUAACCUGCCUGGUAGCGGGGGAUAACUAUUGGAAACGAUAGCUAAUACCGCAUGAAAUUGCUUAUCGCAUGAUAAUUGAUUGAAAGAUGCAAUUGCAUCACUACCAGAUGGACCUGCGUUGUAUUAGCUAGUUGGUGAGGUAACGGCUCACCAAGGCGACGAUACAUAGCCGACCUGAGAGGGUGAUCGGCCACACUGGGACUGAGACACGGCCCAGACUCCUACGGGAGGCAGCAGUAGGGAAUCUUCGGCAAUGGGGGGAACCCUGACCGAGCAACGCCGCGUGAGUGAAGAAGGUUGUCGGAUCGUAAAGCUCUGUUGUAAGAGAAGAACGGGUGUGAGAGUGGAAAGUUCACACUGUGACGGUAUCUUACCAGAAAGGGACGGCUAACUACGUG